GCCCGCUCGCCGGAAGACCAAGGGUUCCUGUCCAACGUUAAUCGGGGCAGGGUGAGUCGACCCCUAAGGUGAGGCCGAAAAGCGUAGUCGAUGGGAAACAGGUUAAUAUUCCUGUACUUGGUGUUACUGCGAAGGGGGGACGGAGAAGGCUAGGCUAGCCGGGCGACGGUUGUCCCGGUUUAAGCGUGUAGGGGGUGUGACCUGGUAAAUCCGGUUGCAUAUCAACCCUGAGGCGUGAUGACGAUGCACUACGGUGCAGAAGUAGUUGAUGCCCUGCUUCCAGGAAAAUCCUCUAAGCUCCAGGUA
RNAcentral lists this ribosomal RNA (306 nucleotides) under Vibrio cholerae. RNAcentral describes it as "bacterial LSU rRNA". It matches the Rfam family "Bacterial large subunit ribosomal RNA", at positions 1328 to 1633 of the family's 2925-position model. Lineage: Bacteria; Pseudomonadati; Pseudomonadota; Gammaproteobacteria; Vibrionales; Vibrionaceae. The record is from RNAcentral.